AGUCGACCCCUAAGGCGAGGCUGAAAAGCGUAGUCGAUGGGAAACAGGUUAAUAUUCCUGUACUUGGUGUUACUGCGAAGGGGGGACGGAGAAGGCUAGGCUAGCCGGGCGACGGUUGUCCCGGUUUAAGCGUGUAGGGGGUGUGACCUGGUAAAUCCGGUUACAUAUCAACCCUGAGGCGUGAUGACGAUGCACUACGGUGCAGAAGUAGUUGAUGCCCUGCUUCCAGGAAAAGCCUCUAAGCUCUAGGUAACAUUGAAUCGUACCCCAAACCGACACAGGUGGUCAGGUAGAGAAUACCAAGGCGCUUGAGAGAACUCGGGUGAAGGAACUAGGCAAAAUGGUGCCGUAACUUCGGGAGAAGGCACGCUGGCAUGUAGGUGAAGUCCCUUGCGGAUGGAGCUGAAGC
Molecule: ribosomal RNA, 409 nt
Filed under: Serratia marcescens
Lineage: Bacteria; Pseudomonadati; Pseudomonadota; Gammaproteobacteria; Enterobacterales; Yersiniaceae
Description: bacterial LSU rRNA
Rfam family: Bacterial large subunit ribosomal RNA
Source: RNAcentral